This 1136-nucleotide ribosomal RNA is filed under the name Apilactobacillus kunkeei. Its description in RNAcentral is "bacterial SSU rRNA". It matches the Rfam family "Bacterial small subunit ribosomal RNA", at positions 53 to 1152 of the family's 1533-position model. The record is from RNAcentral. Lineage: Bacteria; Bacillati; Bacillota; Bacilli; Lactobacillales; Lactobacillaceae.
CUCUCCAAUUGUUUUAUGCUUGCAUAAAUGAUUUUUGGAUUCGGAGCGAGUGGCGAACUGGUGAGUAACACGUGGGUAACCUGCCCCGAAGCGGGGGAUAACAUUUGGAAACAAGUGCUAAUACCGCAUAAUUAGUUGGAACCGCAUGGUUCCAACUUGAAAGAUGGCUCUGCUAUCACUUUGGGAUGGACCCGCGCCGUAUUAGUUAGUUGGUGAGAUAAAAGCCCACCAAGACGAUGAUACGUAGCCGACCUGAGAGGGUAAUCGGCCACAUUGGGACUGAGACACGGCCCAGACUCCUACGGGAGGCAGCAGUAGGGAAUCUUCCACAAUGGACGAAAGUCUGAUGGAGCAACGCCGCGUGAGUGAUGAAGGUUUUCGGAUCGUAAAACUCUGUUGUUAAAGAAGAACAAGUGUUAGAGUAACUGUUAACACUUUGACGGUAUUUAACCAGAAAGCCACGGCUAACUACGUGCCAGCAGCCGCGGUAAUACGUAGGUGGCAAGCGUUGUCCGGAUUUAUUGGGCGUAAAGCGAGCGCAGGCGGUUUUGUAAGUCUGCUGUGAAAGCCCUCAGCUCAACUGAGGAAGUGCAGUGGAAACUACAAAACUUGAGUACAGAAGAGGAAAGUGGAACUCCAUGUGUAGCGGUGAAAUGCGUAGAUAUAUGGAAGAACACCAGUGGCGAAGGCGGCUUUCUGGUCUGUUACUGACGCUGAGGCUCGAAAGCAUGGGUAGCGAACAGGAUUAGAUACCCUGGUAGUCCAUGCCGUAAACGAUGAAUACUAGGUGUUGGAGGGUUUCCGCCCUUCAGUGCCGCAGCUAACGCAUUAAUGUAUUUCCGCCUGGGGAGUACUGACCGCAAGAGUUUGAAACUCAAAGGAAUUUGACUGGGGGCCCCGCACAUGUGGUGGAGCAUGUGGUUUUAAUUCGAUGCUACGCGAAUAACCUUACCAGCUCUGACAUCUUCUGCCAACCCAAUAGAUUGGGCGUUCCCUUUCGGGGACAGAAUGACAGGUGGUGCAUGGUUUUCUUUAAACUCGGGUCGGGAAAAUGUUGGGGUUAAAUUCCCGCUACCACCCCCAAACCCUUUUUUAAUUUGCCCCGCCUUUAUUUGGGCACUCUUUUGGAAAUUGGG